Molecule: transfer RNA, 85 nt
Filed under: Candidatus Endobugula sertula (Bugula neritina bacterial symbiont)
Lineage: Bacteria; Pseudomonadati; Pseudomonadota; Gammaproteobacteria; Cellvibrionales; Cellvibrionaceae
Also listed under: 51 other names
Description: tRNA-Leu
Rfam family: tRNA
About the family: Transfer RNA (tRNA) molecules are approximately 80 nucleotides in length. Their secondary structure includes four short double-helical elements and three loops (D, anti-codon, and T loops).
Source: RNAcentral
GCCCAAGUGGUGGAAUUGGUAGACACGCUAUCUUGAGGGGGUAGUGGCGUAAGCCGUGCCGGUUCAAGUCCGGCCUUGGGCACCA